AUUGAACGCUGGCGGCAGGCCUAACACAUGCAAGUCGAACGAGUGGCGGACGGGUGAGUAAUGUCUGGGAAACUGCCUGAUGGAGGGGGAUAACUACUGGAAACGGUAGCUAAUACCGCAUACCAUCAGAUGUGCCCAGAUGGGAUUAGCUAGUUGGUGGGGUAACGGCUCACCAAGGCGACGAUCCCUAGCUGGUCUGAGAGGAUGACCCGCCAAACUGGAACGGAAACACGGGCCAGACUCCUAAUGGAGGCAGCAGUGGGGAAUAUUGAACAAUGGGCGCAAGCCUGAUGCAGCCAGGCCGCGUGUAUGAAGAAGGCCUUCGGGUUGUAAAGUACUUUCAGCGGGGAGACGUUACCCGCAGAAGAAGCACCGGCUAACUGCGUGCCAGCAGCCGCGGUAAAC
RNAcentral lists this ribosomal RNA (405 nucleotides) under uncultured bacterium. Its description in RNAcentral is "partial 16S ribosomal RNA". It matches the Rfam family "Bacterial small subunit ribosomal RNA", at positions 30 to 525 of the family's 1533-position model. The record is from RNAcentral.